UCGCCUGGUUUUUCAAAAACAUCGCCUCCUGCAAACAACGACGUAUAGGAGGUCUUGCCUGCCCAGUGACAAUGUUAAACGGCCGCGGUAUUUUGACCGUGCGAAGGUAGCGCAAUCACUUGUCUUUUAAAUGAAGACCUGUAUGAAUGGUGAAACGAGGGCUUAACUGUCUCCCUUUUCUAGUCAAUGAAAUUGAUCUGCCCGUGCAGAAGCGGACAUAAAAAUACAAGACGAGAAGACCCUUUGGAGCUUAAGAUAUAAAGAUCAUCUAUGUCAAUGGGCCCCAACACAGCAACAAACUAAAUAGCAACUGAUCUUAAUCUUCGGUUGGGGCGACCACGGGAGAAAAUAAAGCUCCCACGCGGACUGGGGUAAACCCUAAAACCAAGAAAAACAUUUCUAAGAAACAGAACUUCUGACCAUUAAGAUCCGGCUACACGCCGACCAACGGACCAAGUUACCCUAGGGAUAACAGCGCAAUCCCCUUUCAGAGUCCAUAUCGACAAGGGGGUUUACGACCUCGAUGUUGGAUCAGGACAUCCUAAUGGUGCAGCCGCUAUUAAGGGUUCGUUUGUUCAACGAUUAAAGUCCUACGUGAUCUGGUUAAAAAACCAGA
This 616-nucleotide ribosomal RNA is filed under the name Glyptothorax dakpathari. Its description in RNAcentral is "partial 16S ribosomal RNA". It matches the Rfam family "Bacterial large subunit ribosomal RNA", at positions 1796 to 2624 of the family's 2925-position model. Lineage: Eukaryota; Metazoa; Chordata; Actinopteri; Siluriformes; Sisoridae. The record is from RNAcentral.